GAUGAAGAACGUAGUGAAAUGCGAUAAGUAAUGUGAAUUGCAGAAUUCAGUGAAUCAUCGAGUCUUUGAACGCACAUUGCACCCCCUGGUAUUCCGGGGGGCAUGCCUGUCCGAGCGUCAUUGCUGCCCUCAAGCACGGCUUGUGUGUUGGGCUCCGUCCCCCCGGGGACGGGCCCGAAAGGCAGCGGCGGCACCGAGUCCGGUCCUCGAGCGUAUGGGGCUUUGUCACCCGCUCUGUAGGCCCGGCCGGCGCCAGCCGACAACCCAUCAUCCUUUUCAGGUUGACCUCGGAUCAGGUAGGGAUACCCGCUGAACUUAAGCAUAUCAAUAAGCGGAGGA
This 339-nucleotide unclassified non-coding RNA is filed under the name soil metagenome. RNAcentral describes it as "partial contains 5.8S ribosomal RNA, internal transcribed spacer 2, and large subunit ribosomal RNA". The stretch from base 1 to 120 matches the Rfam family "5.8S ribosomal RNA", at positions 35 to 154 of the family's 154-position model. The record is from RNAcentral.